RNAcentral lists this ribosomal RNA (311 nucleotides) under uncultured bacterium. RNAcentral describes it as "bacterial SSU rRNA". It matches the Rfam family "Bacterial small subunit ribosomal RNA", at positions 28 to 329 of the family's 1533-position model. The record is from RNAcentral.
GACGAACGCUGGCGGCGUGCUUAACACAUGCAAGUCGAGCGGUAAGGCCCUUUCGGGGGUACACGACGCGGGCGAACGGGUGAGUAACACGUGGGUAAUCUGCCCUCGGUUCUGGGAUAGCCCGGGGAAACCCGGAGUUAAUACCGGAUGGGCCUCUCGAGCUUUCGGGCACGAGAGAAAAGGUAGCUUCGGCCUCCGACCGAGGAUGAGCCCGCGGCCGGAUUAGCUUGUUGGCGGGGUAACGGCCCACCAAGGCGACGAUCCGGAGCUGGUCUGAGAGGACGAUCAGCCACACUGGGACUGAGACACGG